GAGUGGCGAACGGGUGAGUAACACGUGGGUAACCUGCCCAGAAGUAGGGGAUAACACCUGGAAACAGAUGCUAAUACCGUAUAAUAGAGAAAACCGCAUGGUUUUCUUUUAAAAGAUGGCUCUGCUAUCACUUCUGGAUGGACCCGCGGCGUAUUAGCUAGUUGGUGAGGUAAAGGCUCACCAAGGCAGUGAUACGUAGCCGACCUGAGAGGGUAAUCGGCCACAUUGGGACUGAGACACGGCCCAGACUCCUACGGGAGGCAGCAGUAGGGAAUCUUCCACAAUGGACGCAAGUCUGAUGGAGCAACGCCGCGUGAGUGAAGAAGGGUUUCGGCUCGUAAAGCUCUGUUGUUAAAGAAGAACGUGGGUAAGAGUAACUGUUUACCCAGUGACGGUAUUUAACCAGAAAGCCACGGCUAACUACGUGCCAGCAGCCGCGGUAAUACGUAGGUGGCAAGCGUUAUCCGGAUUUAUUGGGCGUAAAGCGAGCGCAGGCGGUCUUUUAAGUCUAAUGUGAAAGCCUUCGGCUCAACCGAAGAAGUGCAUUGGAAACUGGGAGACUUGAGUGCAGAAGAGGACAGUGGAACUCCAUGUGUAGCGGUGAAAUGCGUAGAUAUAUGGAAGAACACCAGUGGCGAAGGCGGCUGUCUGGUCUGCAACUGACGCUGAGGCUCGAAAGCAUGGGUAGCGAACAGGAUUAGAUACCCUGGUAGUCCAUGCCGUAAACGAUGAUUACUAAGUGUUGGAGGGUUUCCGCCCUUCAGUGCUGCAGCUAACGCAUUAAGUAAUCCGCCUGGGGAGUACGACCGCAAGGUUGAAACUCAAAAGAAUUGACGGGGGCCCGCACAAGCGGUGGAGCAUGUGGUUUAAUUCGAAGCUACGCGAAGAACCUUACCAGGUCUUGACAUCUUCUGACAGUCUAAGAGAUUAGAGGUUCCCUUCGGGGACAGAAUGACAGGUGGUGCAUGGUUGUCGUCAGCUCGUGUCGUGAGAUGUUGGGUUAAGUCCCGCAACGAGCGCAACCCUUAUUACUAGUUGCCAGCAUUAAGUUGGGCACUCUAGUGAGACUGCCGGUGACAAACCGGAGGAAGGUGGGGACGACGUCAAAUCAUCAUGCCCCUUAUGACCUGGGCUACACACGUGCUACAAUGGAUGGUACAACGAGUCGCGAGACCGCGAGGUUAAGCUAAUCUCUUAAAACCAUUCUCAGUUCGGACUGUAGGCUGCAACUCGCCUACACGAAGUCGGAAUCGCUAGUAAUCGCGGAUCAGCAUGCCGCGGUGAAUACGUUCCCGGGCCUUGUACACACCGCCCGUCACACCAUGAGAGUUUGUAACACCCAAAGCCGGUGGGGUAACCUUUUAGGAGCUAGCCGUCUAAGGUGGG
This 1386-nucleotide ribosomal RNA is filed under the name Pediococcus pentosaceus. Its description in RNAcentral is "16S ribosomal RNA". It matches the Rfam family "Bacterial small subunit ribosomal RNA", at positions 93 to 1466 of the family's 1533-position model. Lineage: Bacteria; Bacillati; Bacillota; Bacilli; Lactobacillales; Lactobacillaceae. The record is from RNAcentral.